Molecule: ribosomal RNA, 841 nt
Filed under: Pardosa nigra
Lineage: Eukaryota; Metazoa; Arthropoda; Arachnida; Araneae; Lycosidae
Description: SSU rRNA
Rfam family: Eukaryotic small subunit ribosomal RNA
Source: RNAcentral
AGUCAUAUGCUUGUCUCAAAGAUUAAGCCAUGCAUGUCUAAGUACAUGCCGUAUUAAGGCGAAACCGCGAAUGGCUCAUUAAAUCAGUUAUGGUUCCUUGGAUCGUACUUCACUACUUGGAUAACUGUGGCAAUUCUAGAGCUAAUACAUGCAGCAGAGCUCCGACCUUCGGGGACGAGCGCUUUUAUUAGACCAAAACCAAUCGGACCUCGUGUCCGUCCUUCGUGGUGACUCUGUAUAACUUUGGGCUGAUCGCACGGGCCCGUCCCGGCGACGUAUCUUUCAAGUGUCUGCCUUAUCAACUUUCGAUGGUAGGUUACGCGCCUACCAUGGUCAUAACGGGUAACGGGGAAUCAGGGUUCGAUUCCGGAGAGGGAGCCUGAGAAACGGCUACCACAUCCAAGGAAGGCAGCAGGCGCGCAAAUUACCCACUCCCAGAACGGGGAGGUAGUGACGAAAAAUAACAAUACGGGACUCUUUUGAGACCCCGUAAUUGGAAUGAGUACACUCUAAAUCCUUUAACGAGGAUCUAUUCGAGGGCAAGUCUGGUGCCAGCCGCCGCGGUAAUUCCAGCUCGAAUAGCGUAUAUUAAAGUUGUUGCGGUUAAAAAGCUCGUAGUUGGAUCUCAGUUCCAGACGGGUGGUCCGCCAAACGGUGGUUACUGCCCGUUCUGAACAGCCAGCCGGUUUCUCUUGAUGAUCUUCACCGGUUGUCUCGGGUGACCGGCAAGUUUACUUUGAAAAAAUUAGAGUGCUCAAAGCAGGCGUGACGCCUGAAUAAUGGUGCAUGGAAUAAUGGAAUAGGACCUCGGUUCUAUUUUGUUGGUUUUCGGAACACGAGG